RNAcentral lists this ribosomal RNA (253 nucleotides) under uncultured bacterium. Its description in RNAcentral is "partial 16S ribosomal RNA". It matches the Rfam family "Bacterial small subunit ribosomal RNA", at positions 524 to 776 of the family's 1533-position model. The record is from RNAcentral.
UACGGAGGGUGCAAGCGUUAUCCGGAUUCACUGGGUUUAAAGGGUGCGUAGGUGGGCAGGUAAGUCAGUGGUGAAAUCUCUGGGCUUAACUCAGAAACUGCCAUUGAUACUAUCUGUCUUGAAUACCGUGGAGGUCAGCGGAAUAUGUCAUGUAGCGGUGAAAUGCUUAGAUAUGACAUAGAACACCAAUUGCGAAGGCAGCUGGCUACACGAAUAUUGACACUGAGGCACGAAAGCGUGGGGAUCAAACAGG